Molecule: ribosomal RNA, 412 nt
Filed under: uncultured Halomonas sp. HD-2000/8
Lineage: Bacteria; Pseudomonadati; Pseudomonadota; Gammaproteobacteria; Oceanospirillales; Halomonadaceae
Description: bacterial SSU rRNA
Rfam family: Bacterial small subunit ribosomal RNA
Source: RNAcentral
AGAACGCUGGCGGCAGGCCUAACACAUGCAAGUCGAGCGGUAACAGGGGUAGCUUGCUACCCGCUGACGAGCGGCGGACGGGUGAGUAAUGCAUAGGAAUCUGCCCGGUAGUGGGGGAUAACCUGGGGAAACCCAGGCUAAUACCGCAUACGUCCUACGGGAGAAAGGGGGCUUCGGCUCCCGCUAUUGGAUGAGCCUAUGUCGGAUUAGCUAGUUGGUGAGGUAAAGGCUCACCAAGGCAACGAUCCGUAGCUGGUCUGAGAGGAUGAUCAGCCACAUCGGGACUGAGACACGGCCCGAACUCCUACGGGAGGCAGCAGUGGGGAAUAUUGGACAAUGGGGGCAACCCUGAUCCANCCAUGCCGCGUGUGUGAAGAAGGCCCUCGGGUUGUAAAGCACUUUCAGCGAGGAA